AUAUCAAUAAGCGGAGGAAAAGAAACCAACAGGGAUUGCCUCAGUAACGGCGAGUGAAGCGGCAACAGCUCAAAUUUGAAAUCUGCCUCUAGGCCGAGUUGUAAUUUGUAGAAGAUGCUUCGGGUGUGGCACUGGUCUAAGUUCCUUGGAACAGGACGUCAUAGAGGGUGAGAAUCCCGUAUGUGACUGGCUGCCUUCGCCCAUGUGAAGCUCUUUCGACGAGUCGAGUUGUUUGGGAAUGCAGCUCAAAAUGGGUGGUAAAUUUCAUCUAAAGCUAAAUAUUGGCCAGAGACCGAUAGCGCACAAGUAGAGUGAUCGAAAGAUGAAAAGCACUUUGGAAAGAGAGUUAAACAGUACGUGAAAUUGUUGAAAGGGAAGCGCUUGCAACCAGACUUGCACGCAGUUAAUCAUCCGGGGUUCUCCUCGGUGCACUUGACUGCGUUCAGGCCAGCAUCGGUUCGGGCGGUGGGAUAAAGGCCUUGGGAAUGUAGCUUCUUUCGGGGAGUGUUAUAGCCCUCGGUGCAAUGCCACCUGUCUGGACCGAGGACCGCGCUUCGGCUAGGAUGCUGGCGUAAUGGUUGUAAGCGA
This 588-nucleotide ribosomal RNA is filed under the name uncultured fungus. Its description in RNAcentral is "eukaryotic LSU rRNA". It matches the Rfam family "Eukaryotic large subunit ribosomal RNA", at positions 40 to 647 of the family's 3401-position model. Lineage: Eukaryota; Fungi. The record is from RNAcentral.